UACAGAGGUCCCGAGCGUUACUGAGAAUCACUGGGUUUAAAGGGUGCGUAGGUGGCGCGUUAAGUCAGUUGUGAAAUCCCCGGGCUCAACCCGGGAACUGCUUCUGAUACUGGCGUGCUUGAGGCCAGUAGGGGUCACUAGAACUGACGGUGGAGCGGUGAAAUGCGUAGAUAUCGUCAGGAAUGCCGGUGGUGAAGACGGGUGACUGGGCUGGUUCUGACACUGAGGCACGAAAGCGUGGGGAGCGAACGGG
Molecule: ribosomal RNA, 253 nt
Filed under: uncultured bacterium
Lineage: Bacteria
Description: partial 16S ribosomal RNA
Rfam family: Bacterial small subunit ribosomal RNA
Source: RNAcentral